RNAcentral lists this unclassified non-coding RNA (632 nucleotides) under Tomentella sp. 19 CG-2012. Its description in RNAcentral is "sequence contains ITS1, 5.8S rRNA gene, ITS2". The stretch from base 252 to 406 matches the Rfam family "5.8S ribosomal RNA". The record is from RNAcentral. Lineage: Eukaryota; Fungi; Basidiomycota; Agaricomycetes; Thelephorales; Thelephoraceae.
UAUAGAACUGUAGAGUCUGGGAGAUCAGUGAAGUGUGAGGAUUGUGCUGGCUAAGCAAGUGCACGUCUGAAUCGCUUUCUGGUCGACCUUUCUCUUUCUCUCUCACACUUGUGCACCUAUUGUAGGUCCUCGAAAGGGGAUCUAUGUUUUUCUACACACCCAUCGUAUGUCUACAGAAUGUUAUCAAAGGUCUUACCGAAAAGAGGGUCACUUUCAGUUCCCUCCUAAUAGAGAACUUGCGAAUUUUAUACAACUUUCAGCAAUGGAUCUCUUGGCUCUCGCAUCGAUGAAGAACGCAGCGAAAUGCGAUAAGUAAUGUGAAUUGCAGAAUUCAGUGAAUCAUCGAAUCUUUGAACGCACCUUGCGCCCCUUGGCUAUUCCGAAGGGCAUGCCUGUUUGAGUAUCAUGAACACCUCAACUCCCAUGGUUCGCCAUGGUGAGCUUGGACUUUGGGGGUUUUGCUGGCCCAUGGUCAGCUCCUCUCAAAUGAAUUAGCCUGCCAGUGUUUGGUGGCAUCACAGGUGUGAUAAAUAUCUACGCUUGCGAUUGCCCACCAUGUAACCUUCAGCAAUGGGGGUUCGCUGGGGCUCAUAGACGUCUCUCCCUAAGCGAGGACAGUUUUUUAACGUUCG